Molecule: long non-coding RNA, 842 nt
Organism: Pogoniulus pusillus (Red-fronted tinkerbird)
Lineage: Eukaryota; Metazoa; Chordata; Aves; Piciformes; Lybiidae
Exons: 4
Source: RefSeq, a predicted model, not a curated record
UCAGCACGCAGGAAACGCAGGAGCGAUAACAGCCACCGGGGAUGCAGCUGCAGCUUGUAGAAGAUAACAGGGGGCAUGUAUCCUGCCAUGGAUUGUGCUUUCUGCCUGAAGAGCAGAGCACAGCACAGAUGCUCCAGUAUUUCUUCCGCCUGAACUGCGUUUAAAAGGGCUGCUGCAUGCAUGUGUCAGGAUGAAUUAUGCUUCUUUGGCUUCAGACUCCUUCCGGCAGCCAUAUAACAACUCAGUAGCAAUUCACACCCCAUCGUGUCUAACUGCAUACUUGUGGCAGGUACAACCGCCCUGACAAAGGCAAAGGUCCUGACAGACAAAGGGCUGAGGUCUGGUGGCAGGUGGUAACGAUCAGCUUGAUGAUCAGCAGUCAUCAGCUGGCACCUGCGGACCCAGGAGUUCUGACCUUGCUUCUUUUGUUGCUUGGGGGGCGCAGCCCUCGAGCUAAUUAAGAAAUCUAACUCAGUGCACCUGGGCGGGCUAGAAACGGAGUCCUGCUAUGGCGGAGGUUGGUCUCCACGCAGCAAGUGACCUGGCAGUUGGAUCCUCUCCCUUUAGACUGGGACCGCGUCGAAGGAGUCCUCACCCCUGCUUUGCUUUUGAAUUUCUUCUGGCUCUCCCAGCUCCUCUCUCUGACCAGAAGCUCCUUUUGCAAAUGGGAAAGUCAAGGAGUUCUGAAGACUGCAGGAAAGAGGUUUAUGUUUUGGCAACCACAUGCUCAGCUUCCCAGCCUUGCAGCUGCUGCCACAGCCUGAGCUGCCACUGAACCUCCUGUGUAGCACACAUGGACAGGAUGUGCUCCUCGAGGAAUUCUGUGCUGUCCUCCUGCUAGG